GUUGAGAGUCCGGCGGGCGAAGCUGUCGCCAACCCGGUCAGGUCGGGAACGAAGCAGCCGUAACGAAUUGGCUUCGGGUCGCUCGGGCUCUCACCUGU
This 98-nucleotide signal recognition particle RNA is filed under the name Alphaproteobacteria bacterium 64-11. Its description in RNAcentral is "signal recognition particle sRNA small type". It matches the Rfam family "Bacterial small signal recognition particle RNA". Rfam says of the family: The signal recognition particle (SRP) is a universally conserved ribonucleoprotein involved in the co-translational targeting of proteins to membranes. RNAcentral also lists the same sequence under 1 other name. The record is from RNAcentral. Lineage: Bacteria; Pseudomonadati; Pseudomonadota; Alphaproteobacteria.